Molecule: long non-coding RNA, 366 nt
Filed under: Sus scrofa (pig)
Lineage: Eukaryota; Metazoa; Chordata; Mammalia; Artiodactyla; Suidae
Description: lncRNA (ENSSSCG00035012592.1)
Source: RNAcentral
CUGGCUCAUGAAGAUGCUUGCCACUGGGCCAGGUUCUAACGGAUAAAACUUCACAGAGAAGAAAAGGAGCAGGCUGAAGAUGAAUUAAAUUGAGCCUGGAAGCACAGACCCUUCCUUGCUCGGCCCGUGCCUCAUCUGGACAGAAUUGCAGGCUUAUCCUCUCCCACCUGAUGGAUAAUUUCCUGCACGACACAUUGCAAGACAAUCUGAAAAAUCAGACCCAGAGUUCCUGUCGUGGCCCAGCAGAAAUGAAUCCGACUGGGAACCAUGGGGUUGAGGGUUCGAUCCCUGGCCUUGUUCAGUGGAUUGUGGAUCUGAAAUUGCUGUGAGUUGUGGUGUGGGUCGCAGAUGUGGCUUGGAUCUGGU